This is a non-coding RNA of Paramuricea clavata, 73 nucleotides long. Lineage: Eukaryota; Metazoa; Cnidaria; Anthozoa; Malacalcyonacea; Plexauridae. The record is from the annotation of a GenBank genome assembly.
UUUGUAUUACGUGCGGAAAUUGUUACCAUUUUUGAGCCGAAAAUGGUAUAACAAUUUCCGCACGUAAUACAAA